GAGAGUGGCGAACGGGUGAGUAAUGCGUGACUAACCUGCCGUAUGGUUGGGGAUAGCUCCUGGAAACGGGUGGUAAUACCCAAUGUUCCAGCUGGAUGCAUGUCUGGUUGGGAAAGCUUUUUGUGCCAUAUGAUGGGGUCGCGUCCUAUCAGCUUGUUGGUGGGGUGAUGGCCUACCAAGGCGUCGACGGGUAGCCGGCCUAAGAGGGCGACCGGCCACAUUGGGACUGAGAUACGGUCCAGACUCC
RNAcentral lists this ribosomal RNA (247 nucleotides) under uncultured Bifidobacteriaceae bacterium. RNAcentral's name for it is "partial 16S ribosomal RNA". It matches the Rfam family "Bacterial small subunit ribosomal RNA", at positions 91 to 339 of the family's 1533-position model. Lineage: Bacteria; Bacillati; Actinomycetota; Actinomycetes; Bifidobacteriales; Bifidobacteriaceae. The record is from RNAcentral.